RNAcentral lists this ribosomal RNA (425 nucleotides) under uncultured bacterium. RNAcentral describes it as "bacterial SSU rRNA". It matches the Rfam family "Bacterial small subunit ribosomal RNA", at positions 354 to 796 of the family's 1533-position model. The record is from RNAcentral.
GUGGGGAAUAUUGGACAAUGGGCGCAAGCCUGAUCCAGCCAUGCCGCGUGAGUGAUGAAGGCCCUAGGGUUGUAAAGCUCUUUCACCGGAGAAGAUAAUGACGGUAUCCGGAGAAGAAGCCCCGGCUAACUUCGUGCCAGCAGCCGCGGUAAUACGAAGGGGGCUAGCGUUGUUCGGAAUUACUGGGCGUAAAGCGCACGUAGGCGGAGAUUUAAGUCAGGGGUGAAAUCCCGGAGCUCAACUCUGGAAAUGCCUUUGAUACUGGGUAUCUCGAGUAUGGAAGAGGUGAGUGGAAUUCCGAGUGUAGAGGUGAAAUUCGUAGAUAUUCGGAGGAACACCAGUGGCGAAGGCGGCUCACUGGUCCAUUACUGACGCUGAGGUGCGAAAGCGUGGGGAGCAAACAGGAUUAGAAACCCUUGUAGUCC